CGCAUCCCAAGUGUUGGACAAUAGCUUGUAGCAUCUUGCUCGACCACCGUUGAAGUGCCUCCACCGUAUUGACUUUAUGCUCGACGGUAGUCAAUCGGUUCCGAGUAAUUAUCAUCUCUCGCUCCAUCUUCUUUCGGAAUCGUCGAUCGGAACGGGAGCUUGAGGCUUCGGGCUCGUCUCGGGCUUGAAGAGCGGCUUGCGGCUCGUCAU
RNAcentral lists this long non-coding RNA (210 nucleotides) under Erythranthe guttata (spotted monkey flower). RNAcentral's name for it is "long non-coding RNA (EGUT_LNC001947)". The record is from RNAcentral. Lineage: Eukaryota; Viridiplantae; Streptophyta; Magnoliopsida; Lamiales; Phrymaceae.